UGAGAGCAGAUGUCUCUAGGGAGGCCUAAGUUAAGGGCCUUAGAUGAGAAAAGCCGAGUUGGACAAGGUCCAUGAAGACUGGCUAAUGUUGAAUGCAGGCAGAUAUGUGCUAUAAAAGGUGACAAACUAAGGUUUCGGUCAUAAUUAGCAGCAGUAGCCUCUAUAUUAUGCUGACUCAUGGAUAAAUUUUACGAAACAAGGGGUUGCAGUAAGUCAAAUGAAUGACGGAAGAAAAGAAGGAAAGAAAUAAACAGAUUGUUGUAACUUA
Molecule: long non-coding RNA, 268 nt
Organism: Anneissia japonica
Lineage: Eukaryota; Metazoa; Echinodermata; Crinoidea; Comatulida; Comatulidae
Exons: 2
Source: RefSeq, a predicted model, not a curated record